CAGGCCUAACACAUGCAAGUCGAGCGGAAACGAUCCUAGCUUGCUAGGAGGCGUCGAGCGGCGGACGGGUGAGUAACACGUGAGAAUCUGCCCAUUAGAGGGGGAUAACCUGGGGAAACCCAGGCUAAUACCGCAUAAUCCCUACGGGGGAAAGCAGGGGAUCUUCGGACCUUGUGCUGAUGGAUGAGCUCGCGUCGGAUUAGCUUGUUGGUGAGGUAAUGGCUCACCAAGGCGACGAUCCGUAGCUGGUCUUAGAGGAUGAUCAGCCACACCGGGACUGAGACACGGCCCGGACUCCUACGGGAGGCAGCAGUGGGGAAUCUUGGACAAUGGGGGCAACCCUGAUCCAGCCAUGCCGCGUGUGUGAAGAAGGCCUUCGGGUUGUAAAGCACUUUCAGUAGGGAGGAAGGCUUAUCCUUAAUACGGAUGAGUACUUGACGUUACCUACA
RNAcentral lists this ribosomal RNA (449 nucleotides) under uncultured Gammaproteobacteria bacterium. RNAcentral describes it as "bacterial SSU rRNA". It matches the Rfam family "Bacterial small subunit ribosomal RNA", at positions 43 to 483 of the family's 1533-position model. Lineage: Bacteria; Pseudomonadati; Pseudomonadota; Gammaproteobacteria. The record is from RNAcentral.